GAUGAACGCUGGCGGCGUGCCUAAUACAUGCAAGUCGAGCGAACAGAUGAGGAGCUUGCUCCUCUGACGUUAGCGGCGGACGGGUGAGUAACACGUGGAUAACCUACCUAUAAGACUGGGAUAACUUCGGGAAACCGGAGCUAAUACCGGAUAAUAUAUUGAACCGCAUGGUUCAAUAGUGAAAGACGGUUUUGCUGUCACUUAUAGAUGGAUCCGCGCCGCAUUAGCUAGUUGGUAAGGUAACGGCUUACCAAGGCAACGAUGCGUAGCCGACCUGAGAGGGUGAUCGGCCACAUUGGAACUGAGACGCGGUCCAGACUCCUACGGGAGGCAGCAGUAGGGAAUCUUCCGCAAUGGGCGAAAGCCCGACGGAGCAACGCCGCGUGAGUGAUGAAGGUCUUCGGAUCGUAAAACUCUGUUAUUAGGGAAGAACAAAUGUGUAAGUAACUAUGCACGUCUUGACGGUACCUAAUCAGAAAGCCACGGCUAACUACGUG
Molecule: ribosomal RNA, 497 nt
Filed under: uncultured bacterium
Lineage: Bacteria
Description: partial 16S ribosomal RNA
Rfam family: Bacterial small subunit ribosomal RNA
Source: RNAcentral